GACGAACGCUGGCGGCGUGCUUAACACAUGCCAGUCGAACGGAAAGGCCCCCAUCUUGGUGGGGGUGCUCGAGUGGCGAACGGGUGAGUAACACGUGGGUGAUCUGCCCUGUACUUCGGGAUAAGCUUGGGAAACUGGGUCUAAUACCGGAUAGGACCAUGGUUUAGUGUCUCAUGGUGGAAAGAUUAUUGUUUUGGUGCAGGAUGAGCUCGCGGCCUAUCAGCUUGUUGGUGGGGUAAUGGCCUACCAAGGCGUCGACGGGUAGCCGGCCUGAGAGGGUGGACGGCCACAUUGGGACUGAGAUACGGCCCAGACUCCUACGGGAGGCAGCAGUGGGGAAGAUUGCACAAUGGGUGCAAGCCUGAUGCAGCGACGCCGCGUGGGGGAUGACGGCCUUCGGGUGGUAAACUCCUUUCGUUAGGGACGAAGCCACGCUUUUGGGGUGUGGUGACGGUACCUUUGUGAAGAAGCACCGGCUAACUACGUG
Molecule: ribosomal RNA, 487 nt
Filed under: uncultured bacterium
Lineage: Bacteria
Description: partial 16S ribosomal RNA
Rfam family: Bacterial small subunit ribosomal RNA
Source: RNAcentral